UACGUAGGACCCAAGCGUUAUCCGGAGUGACUGGGCGUAAAGAGUUGCGUAGGCGGCUUGUUAAGUGAGUAGUGAAAUCGUGUGGCUCAACCAUUACGGCUAUUACUCAAACUGGCAAGCUCGAGAAUGGUAGAGGUAGCUGGAAUUUCUUGUGUAGGAGUGAAAUCCGUAGAUAUAAGAAGGAACACCAAUGGCGUAGGCAGGCUACUGGACCAUUUCUGACGCUGAGGCACGAAAGCGUGGGGAGCGAACCGG
RNAcentral lists this ribosomal RNA (255 nucleotides) under uncultured bacterium. RNAcentral's name for it is "partial 16S ribosomal RNA". It matches the Rfam family "Bacterial small subunit ribosomal RNA", at positions 524 to 776 of the family's 1533-position model. The record is from RNAcentral.